Long non-coding RNA from Musa acuminata AAA Group (dessert banana), 2475 nucleotides. RefSeq lists it as uncharacterized. The transcript is spliced from 4 exons. The record is from RefSeq and is a predicted model, not a curated record. NCBI's taxonomy places the organism in Eukaryota, Viridiplantae, Streptophyta, Magnoliopsida, Zingiberales, Musaceae.
UCCCCUUAUACCCAUGGUAAAAACCGUUUGACUAGAUUUCAUCCAAGAAUUCAAGCACUUGUUGGUUCUGUGGUCUUAAUAUAAUAUUUUGUGACUGACCAUGAGCCUCUUGUCUCCCUGUUUUUCAGGUGAAGUUUAGAGAAUUGUCUCAGGUAUUAAACAGCUUCUUCUCUGAACAAAUGCAAGCUUUCUGUUUCAUAUGUUGCUUAGACUGCUUCCGGUUUUUUUUUUUUUUUUUUCUUUCUUUUUCCUAAUGCAGAGGUCUUAGGUUGACAAUUGACUUAUUGUUUUUGUUCUUCAUUGCAGAUUGGUUUCUGGGUGAGGCAGAGACUCCCACCUUCCUGUUCUUUUUUGUUUGCAUAAGCUUAAAUAUUCUUGCUUCUGUAUCAAUGACGAAGUCAAUUGGCAUCUCCAAACAUGAGCAUCGACAGUAGCAAUUCUGAAUGAUUUAUCCUGGGCUGCCCUGCUCAUGUCAAUUGGCCAUGAGAACACUGUGCAUGCUGAUGAAGAACCAAAUGCAGAUAUGAACUCCUUUUUUGCCCUUAUGGGCUAUUCUCCAGGUGGUAAACGCGUUAGCUUUGCUGAUGAUUUACUGCUUCUUUGUGAUGGCAAGAACAGAUCUGUUCAAAGGCUACAGCGAGCAAAAUUUAGAUGCAAGAGACCCUCCAUCUGUUAAGAUACAAGGUGUUCCUAAAUUGUAGAUUGUCUACGGACAAAGUGUUCCAAUCACAAAUCAAUCGCAAGUGCAUGUGGUGUCCAAGUGUGACAAAAGGAAGAUUCAUCAGGUCCAAGAGCUUGUAUGUUUAUAUGCAGGAUUCUUAUCGGGAUACCAGCCUGCUUUAUACUGGUCCUUAAUCUGAGCAGAUUCAAGUUAUGUUUUGGUCCCCUACCUUGAUUGACACAGCGAGGCUUUCUGCCAUCAUCUUUUUCACCAGAUGAUCCAUCUUCUAUUGUCUGUCGAACAUGGAGAAUGUGAUCUGUCCAUGGCUUCCAUUCCCAAGCAAAGAUUUCCUUUCACGUGCAUCAGAAGCUAAUGGUCCAAAUCGGUCGUACGGGUGUGGUGAUUUGUGCACCUCAAGAGAGUACUCUGCUACUGCGUGUUGCUCUGAUACAGAUAUAUGCCAAUCCACCAGGAGCUGAGAUCUAUCAUGCAGAUGUUUAAUGCGAUACUGUCUCCAACUCUGUUUUAGUGGCGUAAUCGCAUUUCCUGCAGCAAGCAGACUGAAAUGGUGGUGGCUUCCUGCAUUCUGAUACGUGACAAAAAUCCUCUAACUCACCAUUACAGAGAUGUUCACUUUUCUCCACCUCGCUCUCUCUAUGGGGCCGCCAUGUCCUGAAGAAUGAGAGAGCCUGGGUGGUGUUCCAAGGAAGGUGUGUCAGCCAUUGCUCUCCCAGUAAAUGGUUGGAGCCACUGCAUGCUUGUGAGGGAACAAGGAGACUGCUUCCUUUGCAAGGUGGAAAUAUGACCCAAGUAGUCCAAGAUCUAAGCCAGAAUGGAUCUUUACAGUCUGACAAAAGCUGCAAGGUCUAUGAAUGGCGAGCAAUCAGGUUGCAGGGGUAGACGUGGAGUUAUUGCAUCCUGCACAGAAUCGAAGUCAUCUUGGUGAUGAUCUAUCUACACAUGGAAGCACUGUGAAGAACACUGCAGUGCAUGAGCCAACAUGAACAUGGAACAGCUAGGCCCAUGCAUAAGUUUCCAUCAAGGCGUCGGGAUCUGUCCUGGUUAGAACAUCCCUUCACUCUGCAGCAGGGAAUUGUACCUCCCCAUUCAUUGCGGAGCAAAUGCAAGUCAGUGAAAGAGACGACAGGGUGUUCGAAUAGGCCAGAAUUCUGUAAAUUAGAUGCCUCGAUAAGGGUCUUAAUUGGGGUCAUCAAUGAAUAGUGCUUUGAAGGGCCUCAAACUGGGUGUUUGCCGGAGACUGCUACUUCAAAUGGGCUUCAUCUGAAGCUGACAAUAAAUGCAGCAAUUCUACCCCCAGAAAGAAAACUACGUGGCCUGAGUUGUGGGAUCUGAAAUGAAUGAGAGCAGUCAUUGACCUCAACAUCCUUUCAUGUGGGGAGGCAGUGGCAGAAAUCAAGUCCCCACACAACAUCAUUGCAGGUGGAGCACACAAAUGCACAGUGCAGGCCAGCAGAGGAAACGAAGGCCAAGAGGGGAGGAAGAAGAGGAUGAGGAUGAUCUCGUGACCCAUCAUGAUGGAAAAGUGUGAUCAAACCUUGCAGAGAAACUAAGGCAACAAUUACAAGGACUUUAGUAAUGAAAUAAAAUGGAUGAUGAACUAUGUUGUCUUGUUGCUUUCACCAGCCCCUUCUCAACUCAGUUUGUGUGUGGGAUCAUGGGUGAUAUCAGAUUCUGGCUGUCUCCUAUCCUGAUAGGUGACCGGAUGACUUUUCUUUUCACGAAGGAUGUAACAGAUGCUUCAAAGAUAUUAUCAUCGGACUCAACUACAUGAAUUGGUUACUGCAAUUGGGACA